GAUGACGACGUAUCCUUACAGUCUUUAUUUAAAGGGAAAAUUAUAAAAAUUUCUCCUCGUUACCUAAAAAUCUAGGUUUCUCAAGAAUCGCUAAACCUAGAUCCCAAUCCUUGAAAAUCUCAAUUUAACCUCCCUAGCGUUUCGAUUGUCGAGGAUUCGCUUCAAAAUUUAGUAUUUUUUAGUGGAUUUUGCUUGUCUCGUAUCCUUAAAUUGUUGUUCGGUUCUGAAAAUAAUUUGGAUUUUUAGGGAUUUUCAGAUUAUUGGGUUUUGUUGAGUACAAUUUCGUCUAGUUACGGUUUCAGUUUGAAGGGUUAAAUGCAAUUUCGAUUUUUUUUUAUAAAAUUAAAAUUAAAAUUCAUAAAACGAUUGGGCGUUUAAUAAUU
This 383-nucleotide long non-coding RNA is filed under the name Citrus sinensis (sweet orange). RNAcentral's name for it is "long non-coding RNA (CSIN_LNC005804)". Lineage: Eukaryota; Viridiplantae; Streptophyta; Magnoliopsida; Sapindales; Rutaceae. The record is from RNAcentral.